Molecule: ribosomal RNA, 507 nt
Filed under: uncultured bacterium
Lineage: Bacteria
Description: partial 16S ribosomal RNA
Rfam family: Bacterial small subunit ribosomal RNA
Source: RNAcentral
GACGAACGCUGGCGGCGUGCCUAAUACAUGCAAGUCGAACGCAUUUUCUUUCACCGUAGCUUGCUACACCGAAAGAAAAUGAGUGGCGAACGGGUGAGUAACACGUGGGUAACCUGCCCAUCAGCGGGGGAUAACACUUGGAAACAGGUGCUAAUACCGCAUAAUUCCAUUUACCGCAUGGUAGAUGGAUGAAAGGCGCUUUUGCGUCACUGAUGGAUGGACCCGCGGUGCAUUAGCUAGUUGGUGGGGUAACGGCCUACCAAGGCUGCGAUGCAUAGCCGACCGGAGAGGGGGAUCAGCCACACUGGGACGGAGACACGGCCCAGACUCCUACGGGAGGCAGCAGUAGGGAAUCUUCGGCAAUGGACACAAGUCUGACCGAGCAACGCCGCGUGAGUGAAGAAGGUUUUCGGAUCGUAAAACUCUGUUGUUAGAGAAGAACAAGGAUGAGAGUGGAAAGUUCAUCCCUUGACGGUAUCUAACCAGAAAGCCACGGCUAACUACGUG